GUUUAAGCAAUAAACAGUGAAACUGCGAAUGGCUCAUUAAAUCAGUCAUAGUUUAUUUGAUGGUACCUUACUACAUGGAUAACUGUGGUAAUUCUAGAGCUAAUACAUGCUGAAAAAUCCCGACUUCUGGAAGGGAUGUAUUUAUUAGAUCCAAAACCAAUGGCCUUCGGGUCCCUAUGGUGAAUCAUGAUAACUGCUCGAAUCGCAUGGCCUUGCGCCGGCGAUGCUUCAUUCAAAUAUCUGCCCUAUCAACUUUCGAUGGUAGGAUAGAGGCCUACCAUGGUGAUGACGGGUAACGGGGAAUAAGGGUUCGAUUCCGGAGAGAGGGCCUGAGAAACGGCCCUCAGGUCUAAGGACACGCAGCAGGCGCGCAAAUUAUCCCCUGGCAACACUUUGCCGAGAUAGUGACAAUAAAUAACAAUGCAGGGCUCUUACGGGUCUUGCAAUUGGAAUGAGUACAAUUUAAAUCCCUUAACGAGGAUCAAUUGGAGGGCAAGUCUGGUGCCAGCAGCCGCGGUAAUUCCAGCUCCAAUAGCGUAUAUUAAAAUUGUUGCCGUUAAAAAGCUCGUAGUCGAACUUCGGGCUCUGUCAGCCGGUCCGCCUUCUUGGUGUGUACUUGUUUGACGGAGCCUUACCUCCUGGUGAACGGCGAUGUCCUUUACUGGGUGUCGUCGCAAACCAGGACUUUUACUUUGAAAAAAUUAGAGUGUUCAAAGCAGGCCUUUGCCCGAAUACAUUAGCAUGGAAUAAUAAAAUAGGACGCGCGUUCCCAUUUUGUUGGUUUCUGAGAUCGCCGUAAUGAUUAAUAGGGAUAGUUGGGGGCAUUUGUAUUCCGUCGUCAGAGGUGAAAUUCUUGGAUUGCCGGAAGACAAACUACUGCGAAAGCAUUUGCCAAGGAUGUUUUCAUUGAUCAAGAACGAAGGAAGGGGGAUCGAAAACGAUUAGAUACCGUUGUAGUCUCUUCUGUAAACUAUGCCAAUUGGGGAUCGGUACAGGAUUUUUAAUGACUGUAUCGGCACCCGAAGAGAAAUCUUUAAAUGAGGUUCGGGGGGGAGUAUGGUCGCAAGGCUGAAACUUAAAGGAAUUGACGGAAGGGCACCACCAGGUGUGGAGCCUGCGGCUUAAUUUGACUCAACACGGGGAAACUCACCAGGUCCAGACACAAUAAGGAUUGACAGAUUGAUAGCUCUUUCUUGAUCUUGUGGUUGGUGGUGCAUGGCCGUUCUUAGUUGGUGGAGUGAUUUGUCUGGUUAAUUCCGAUAACGAACGAGACCUUAACCUGCUAAAUAGACCAGCCGGCUUUGGCUAGCUGCUGUCUUCUUAGAGGGACUAUCAGCGUUUAGCUGAUGGAAGUUUGAGGCAAUAACAG
Molecule: ribosomal RNA, 1369 nt
Filed under: Rhodotorula mucilaginosa
Lineage: Eukaryota; Fungi; Basidiomycota; Microbotryomycetes; Sporidiobolales; Sporidiobolaceae
Description: SSU rRNA
Rfam family: Eukaryotic small subunit ribosomal RNA
Source: RNAcentral